ACAUUUAAGGAAAUCAACUACUCACAAAAAAAGCAAACCCUCCCAAGAUAGGUGAUAAUAAUAAACACCACCUAGCACAUUAUCUCUCUCAUAAUUCUCUCUUUGGUUUUGUUUUGUUGUCCUAAUGAGUUGUUUUACUUCUGAAAAAUCCACCAUGUCUUCCCAGCUCCAAAUGGUUCCUCUAAGCAAACUUCGUUACCAAAGGCUAAGGCAUGAAAAAGGGUGGGAUGAUGAAAGGGAAAGGAGGUCAAGAAGCUGGUUCAGGUUUAGAAGGGUUCCCAUUAGGAGAAGGUUUAGACUCAAAAUUCCAAGCUUGAGAAGACUUUGGAGAAAAAGGGCUAGGUUGGUUUCUUCCAUGAGAAUUUCAUAUGCUAAAGUGAUGAAAAGAUUCAAGGAAGGUCAAGUUCAUUUUGGUGACCUUUUUGCUGGGAACUACUUGUUCAUGCAUGUCAACCCUACCUCACUCAAGUGCCUUGAAAGGGAUUUGUCCCUCUCAAAAAUUGCAUAGAGCCUUUAUUGUGUUAUUAUUUUGGUUCUCACUAUGCUGCUUGGGAACUUCUGUCUCUUAUCUGCUAAUCAGAUCGGGAAAAAAUGUUGGAUUCGGGAGCAGCGAGAUUAUUUAAAAUUGGGGCAAUUAAUCUUCUCCUUAUGCUAGCGGCUUUAUAUAUGUUGUUUACAUCAAAUUCUGUCAACUCAAGAUGUUUGCAUCAUGGUAAUUGUAAUUAAUUGGUACAUUAAUUAUAUCGUAUAUAUGUAUACCAUUAAUUAUUGUAAUUUUAUGGUGACGUAUUAUAAUUUUGUAAUGCAUCAAA
Long non-coding RNA from Glycine soja, 812 nucleotides. RefSeq lists it as uncharacterized. The record is from RefSeq and is a predicted model, not a curated record. NCBI's taxonomy places the organism in Eukaryota, Viridiplantae, Streptophyta, Magnoliopsida, Fabales, Fabaceae. The transcript has 2 exons.